AAUGACUGAACAGUGCGCGAGA
RNAcentral lists this microRNA (22 nucleotides) under Pristionchus pacificus. Its description in RNAcentral is "ppc-miR-2238k-3p". The record is from miRBase by way of RNAcentral. Lineage: Eukaryota; Metazoa; Nematoda; Chromadorea; Rhabditida; Neodiplogasteridae.